CUAAGCAGAGACUACUUAUCAGUAGAAUUGCUUUGAUUCUCCUUUCAAUGGGGAUUUCGAGGAAGUGAAGGAUGUUACAUCCCAUCUACUCUACUGACACUAGGAAGACUGCUUUAUACAAUGCAAGGCAACUCAUUGUCGUGCAUUAAGGGGAACAUGUUUUUCCUAGCAUAGUCUCUCUCUGAAAUUUAGACAGUCGUACAAUUCACCCUCUGUUAGAAGAUGGAACGAAGCAAGGUUUUCAUGUGAUGUCACCGCCUAUAUAAGAUGGGAUCAAUGAUUCACAGAGGGAAGUCUAAGCAGGGGCCAAAGCCCAGCAGAACCUGCUGAGGACACUGCUGCUGAAGAGGAGACUGGGUCCCUAGAUCACGGUCCAACAGCAGGGUGAAUUGCAGGAUUCCACCCUGGGAGCAGUACAAGAGUGGACCUGUCACUUGGAAAGGGUGACCAUAUAGAGACUGAGUGAGGGAUCAACAGUACAGCUGACCCUGGAACCCUGAGAGAGAGUGGCAGAA
Mauremys mutica (yellowpond turtle) is the source of this 515-nucleotide long non-coding RNA. RefSeq lists it as uncharacterized. NCBI's taxonomy places the organism in Eukaryota, Metazoa, Chordata, Testudines, Geoemydidae. The record is from RefSeq and is a predicted model, not a curated record. The transcript is spliced from 3 exons.